Molecule: ribosomal RNA, 467 nt
Filed under: uncultured bacterium
Lineage: Bacteria
Description: bacterial SSU rRNA
Rfam family: Bacterial small subunit ribosomal RNA
Source: RNAcentral
GCGCGAGAAUGGGUCUUCGGAUCCUAGUAAAGCGGCGGACGGGUGAGUAACACGUGGAUAAUCUGCCCUUCGGCGGGGGACAACAGUCCGAAAGGAUUGCUAAUACCGCAUACGUCGGCGAGGUCUUCGGAUCUUGCCGGGAAAGAUGGCCUCUUCAUGAAAGCUAUCACCGAAGGAUGAGUCCGCGUCCCAUCAGCUAGUUGGCGGUGUAAUAGACCACCAAGGCUAAGACGGGUAGCUGGUCUGAGAGGAUGAUCAGCCACACUGGAACUGAGACACGGUCCAGACUCCUACGGGAGGCAGCAGUGGGGAAUAUUGGGCAAUGGGCGCAAGCCUGACCCAGCCAUGCCGCGUGAGUGAUGAAGGCCUUCGGGUCGUAAAGCUCUGUGGGGAGGGAAGAAACAGACUAUGGCUAACAUCCAUGGUCCUUGACGGUACCUCCUUAGCAAGCACCGGCUAACUCUGUG